GUGGGGAAUAUUGCACAAUGGGCGAAAGCCUGAUGCAGCAACGCCGCGUGAGGGACGACGGCCUUCGGGUUGUAAACCUCUUUUAGUAGGGAAGAAGCGAAAGUGACGGUACCUGCAGAAAAAGCACCGGCUAACUACGUGCCAGCAGCCGCGGUAAUACGUAGGGUGCAAGCGUUAUCCGGAAUUAUUGGGCGUAAAGAGCUCGUAGGCGGUCUGUCGCGUCUGCUGUGAAAACUGGAGGCUCAACCUCCAGCCUGCAGUGGGUACGGGCAGACUAGAGUGCGGUAGGGGAGAUUGGAAUUCCUGGUGUAGCGGUGGAAUGCGCAGAUAUCAGGAGGAACACCGAUGGCGAAGGCAGAUCUCUGGGCCGUAACUGACGCUGAGGAGCGAAAGCGUGGGGAGCGAACAGGAUUAGAGACCCCGGUAGUCC
Molecule: ribosomal RNA, 430 nt
Filed under: uncultured bacterium
Lineage: Bacteria
Description: partial 16S ribosomal RNA
Rfam family: Bacterial small subunit ribosomal RNA
Source: RNAcentral